GAGAGAGGCCCAGAAGCAAAGAAAACUGCUAACUUUCAGUCCCUUGGUUAAAGCCCAAGGCUCACUCG
RNAcentral lists this transfer RNA (68 nucleotides) under Tentoriceps cristatus (crested hairtail). RNAcentral describes it as "tRNA-Ser". Lineage: Eukaryota; Metazoa; Chordata; Actinopteri; Scombriformes; Trichiuridae. The record is from RNAcentral.